Molecule: ribosomal RNA, 495 nt
Filed under: uncultured bacterium
Lineage: Bacteria
Description: partial 16S ribosomal RNA
Rfam family: Bacterial small subunit ribosomal RNA
Source: RNAcentral
GAUGAACGCUGGCGGCGUGCCUAAUACAUGCAAGUCGAGCGAACAGACGAGGAGCUUGCUCCUCUGACGUUAGCGGCGGACGGGUGAGUAACACGUGGAUAACCUACCUAUAAGACUGGGAUAACUUCGGGAAACCGGAGCUAAUACCGGAUAAUAUAUUGAACCGCAUGGUUCAAUAGUGAAAGACGGUUUUGCUGUCACUUAUAGAUGGAUCCGCGCCGCAUUAGCUAGUUGGUAAGGUAACGGCUUACCAAGGCGACGAUGCGUAGCCGACCUGAGAGGGUGCUCCGCCACGGGAGAACAGAGACGGGCUAGAGACCUCCGGGGGGGAGAAGAGUGGAAAAUCCCGCGAUGGGGGCGAACGUGUGACAGAGCCACGGCGCGUGAGAGAAGAAGGUCCUCGGCGUGUAAAACUCUGUUAAGGGAAGAACACAAGUGUGUAAGUAUAUACGCGUGUUGACGGUAUAUAAAAAGAAAGCGCCGCCGAUAUACGCG